GGAUGAAUUUUGCGCAAUGGCCGCAAGGCUGACGCAGCAACGCCGCGUGGGUGAUGAAGGCCUUCGGGUCGUAAAGCCCUGUCAGGUGGGAAGAAAGGCCUUAAGGAGAAAGACUUGAGGUUUGACGGUACCACCAAAGGAAGCACCGGCUAACUCCGUGCCAGCAGCCGCGGUAAUACGGAGGGUGCGAGCGUUAUUCGGAAUUACUGGGCGUAAAGCGCGUGUAGGCGGGGGGACAAGUCUGAUGUGAAAGCCCUGGGCUUAACCUGGGAAGCGCAUUGGAAACUGUUUUUCUUGAGUACUGGAGAGGAAGGGGGUAAUUCCCGGUGUAGAGGUGAAAUUCGGUAGAGAUCGGGAGGAAUACCAGUGGCGUAGGCGCCCUUCUGGACGGUAACUGACG
This 400-nucleotide ribosomal RNA is filed under the name uncultured bacterium. RNAcentral describes it as "bacterial SSU rRNA". It matches the Rfam family "Bacterial small subunit ribosomal RNA", at positions 355 to 745 of the family's 1533-position model. The record is from RNAcentral.